This 416-nucleotide long non-coding RNA is filed under the name Oreochromis niloticus (Nile tilapia). RNAcentral describes it as "lncRNA (ENSONIG00000036482.1)". Lineage: Eukaryota; Metazoa; Chordata; Actinopteri; Cichliformes; Cichlidae. The record is from RNAcentral.
AUGGCAAUAAACAAUACAAAUCUAACAACAUUCAUUCAAAAACAAAGUGCUCUUAUUCUGAAAAUCUGCCUCCUCCUCCCCCCUCCCACCUGUCCUGCUUCAGGUGGAGUCUCGCCUCCUUCCAGGAAGCAACUCGCCUGUGUGUUCGUGUUUAGUGUCCAGGUGUGGCAUGGAGCUUGUUGUUGGUGUCUCUGUGUGAAGAAACUGAAUCCUGCACUGGCUGAGGGAAACAGGAUGGACUCGUACUACAAGGAGAGACCCACAUCACCAUGUCUUUCUCUGAAGAGUAAUAAGUCAAGGUCCCCACCACCAGAUUUAAGCUCAGGGCAAACCACAAGGGUCAGGAUUAUUGACUGAUGGUUAAACACAGUGGGAGACAAACAGGUAAGAAAUACAUACAUACAUACAUAAGUCAA